RNAcentral lists this ribosomal RNA (1292 nucleotides) under Verruconis pseudotricladiata. RNAcentral's name for it is "partial 28S ribosomal RNA". It matches the Rfam family "Eukaryotic large subunit ribosomal RNA", at positions 82 to 1401 of the family's 3401-position model. The record is from RNAcentral. Lineage: Eukaryota; Fungi; Ascomycota; Dothideomycetes; Venturiales; Sympoventuriaceae.
AGUAACGGCGAGUGAAGCGGCAACAGCUCAAAUUUGAAAUCUGGCGUCUUAGGCGUCCGAGUUGUAAUUUGUAGAGGGAGUCUCGGGUUAUGGGUCGGUCCAAGUGCCUUGGAACAGGAUACCGCAGAGGGUGAGAGUCCCGUAUCCGGCCGACGCCAGCGCCCGUGUGAGGCCCCUUCGACGAGUCGAGUUGUUUGGGAAUGCAGCUCUAAAUGGGUGGUAAAUUCCAUCUAAAGCUAAAUACCGGCCAGAGACCGAUAGCGCACAAGUAGAGUGAUCGAAAGAUGAAAAGCACUUUGAAAAGAGAGUCAAACAGUACGUGAAAUUGUUGAAAGGGAAGCGUAUGUGGGCAGACUUGACCGCGGGAUUCAGCUCGUCUUUUGGCGGGUGCACUUUCUCGCGGGCAGGCCAGCAUCGGUUUCGGGGGCCGGACAAAGACGUGAGGAAUGUGGCUCUCUCGGGAGUGUUAUAGCCUCGCGUGCAAUGCGGCCACCCGGGACCGAGGACCGCGCUUCGGCAAGGAUGCUGGCGUAAUGGCCUCAUACGGCCCGUCUUGAAACACGGACCAAGGAGUCUAACAUCUAUGCGAGUGUUUGGGUGUCAAGCCCGGGCGCGCAAUGAAAGUGAACGGAGGUGGGAGCCUCGGCGCACCAUCGACCGAUCCUGAUGUCUUCGGAAGGAUUUGAGUAAGAGCAUAGCUGUUGGGACCCGAAAGAUGGUGAACUAUGCGUGAAUAGGGUGAAGCCAGAGGAAACUCUGGUGGAGGCUCGCAGCGGUUCUGACGUGCAAAUCGAUCGUCAAAUUUGCGUAUAGGGGCGAAAGACUAAUCGAACCAUCUAGUAGCUGGUUCCUGCCGAAGUUUCCCUCAGGAUAGCAGUAACGUUUUCAGUUUUAUGAGGUAAAGCGAACGAUUAGGGAGCUAGGGGUUGAAACAACCUUUAUCCAUUCUCGAACUUUAAAUAUGUAAGAAGUCCUUGUUACUUUGUUGAACGUGGACACUCGAAUGCAGCGUUACUAGUGGGCCAUUUUUGGUAAGCAGAACUGGCGAUGCGGGAUGAACCGAACGUGGGGUUAAGGUGCCGGAAUGCACGCUCAUCAGACACCACAAAAGGUGUUGGUUCAUCCAGACAGCAGGACGGUGGCCAUGGAAGUCGGAAUCCGCUAAGGAGUGUGUAACAACUCACCUGCCGAAUGAACCAGCCCUGAAAAUGGAUGGCGCUCAAGCGUGCUACCCAUACCCCACCGUGUCUUCUGAGCUUUUGAAGACACGAGUAGGCAGGCGUGGAGGCCCG